UACGUAGGGGGCUAGCGUUGUCCGGAAUCAUUGGGCGUAAAGAGCGUGUAGGCGGCCCGGUAAGUCCGCUGUGAAAGUCGGGGGCUCAACCCUCGAAUGCCGGUGGAUACUGUCGGGCUAGAGUGCGGGAGAGGCGAGUGGAAUUCCCGGUGUAGCGGUGAAAUGCGCAGAUAUCGGGAGGAACACCAAUGGCGAAGGCAGCUCGCUGGGACGGUACUGACGCUGAGGCGCGAAAGCGUGGGGAGCAAACAGG
Molecule: ribosomal RNA, 253 nt
Filed under: uncultured bacterium
Lineage: Bacteria
Description: partial 16S ribosomal RNA
Rfam family: Bacterial small subunit ribosomal RNA
Source: RNAcentral